GCAGGCAGGCAGGCAGGCAGGCAGGCAGCUCCAGCAUGUGUUUACCUCCCAGUGGCCUUGCCACCAGCAGCCUUGGCUCAUGAUCCAAGGACACUAAGCCUUAUGCAGCAGCCGGAGACUGAGACUUCAGUUCUAUUGUGAAAAACAGGCUCACGCACCCAAACCAAAGUCAAAAGAUAGAAUCCUUGACCUCACUGCCUCAAACAAAAGUGGCAGUUUCAUUCUGAUAUCAAUGGAAGUUUCGCCCACUCAAAAUCACAGUGACGUAUCAGCUGGACCAGGUCCAACGUGAGGAGGCGCUGGAAGUAAUUGAUGGAAUGUAUGAUGCAUGAUUGACGAUGUGACUGAUUACCAAGGCAACCAGGAGUGACACCUCUAGUGAGAAACAUGGCAGGCGGGAGGAGAUGUUGGCAGGUUCAGAUAGAGGCCAUCCGCGCUGGCCUGCAUGGCCUGCUCUGAAAUGGAGUGGGUGUCAUACCCCUGGUGAUGCAGCCACUGAUGCUGGACAUUCUUCAUCGUGUUUCCCUCUGCAGGCAGUGAUGUAUGAUGUGUCUAUGUUCACUUCUGUCACUUGGGAAGAAAACAAUGCUAGUCCCACAUCUCUUACAGUAGCUUACUCAUUCAUUUAGAUUUUUUUCUAACAAGAUUCUGACAUGAAUGCACGCAUGCAUGAACAAACACACAUACACACACACACACACACACACACACACACACACACACACACACAUUCAUUGUCGUAGCUAAUCAAAGGUCCAAACUGAUAAGUUGGGCAGGUGAGACAGUCUGAGCUCCUCAUUUGUCAAGCUCUCAUCAGAAUGUCAGAGCAGGUGGUCAAUCACCUGCAACUAAAGAUGUGUC
Molecule: long non-coding RNA, 861 nt
Organism: Clupea harengus (Atlantic herring)
Lineage: Eukaryota; Metazoa; Chordata; Actinopteri; Clupeiformes; Clupeidae
Source: RefSeq, a predicted model, not a curated record